Molecule: ribosomal RNA, 344 nt
Filed under: uncultured bacterium
Lineage: Bacteria
Description: bacterial SSU rRNA
Rfam family: Bacterial small subunit ribosomal RNA
Source: RNAcentral
ACACGUGAUUCAGAGUUUGAUCCUGGCUCAGGAUGAACGCUGGCGGCGUGCUUAACACAUGCAAGUCGAACGGACUUAUGAUGAAGCCUAGCGAUUUAUAAGUUAGUGGCGGACGGGUGAGUAACGCGUGGGUAACCUGCCUUAUACAGGGGGAUAACACUUAGAAAUAGGUGCUAAUACCGCAUAAGCGCACAGUAUCGCAUGAUACAGUGUGAGAAACUCCGGUGGUAUAAGAUGGACCCGCGUCUGAUUAGCUAGUUGGUGAGGUAACGGCACACCAAGGCGACGAUCAGUAGCCGGCCUGAGAGGGUGAACGGCCACAUUGGGACUGAGACACGGCCCAA